UACGUAGGGGGCAAGCGUUGUCCGGAAUUAUUGGGCGUAAAGCGCGCGCAGGCGGUUUCUUAAGUCUGAUGUGAAAGCCCACGGCUCAACCGUGGAGGGUCAUUGGAAACUGGGGAACUUGAGUGCAGGAGAGAAGAGUGGAAUUCCACGUGUAGCGGUGAAAUGCGUAGAGAUGUGGAGGAACACCAGUGGCGAAGGCGACUCUUUGGCCUGUAACUGACACUGAGGCGCGAAAGCGUGGGGAGCAAACAGG
This 253-nucleotide ribosomal RNA is filed under the name uncultured bacterium. RNAcentral describes it as "partial 16S ribosomal RNA". It matches the Rfam family "Bacterial small subunit ribosomal RNA", at positions 524 to 776 of the family's 1533-position model. The record is from RNAcentral.